RNAcentral lists this long non-coding RNA (199 nucleotides) under Elaeis guineensis (African oil palm). Its description in RNAcentral is "long non-coding RNA (EGUI_LNC041621)". The record is from RNAcentral. Lineage: Eukaryota; Viridiplantae; Streptophyta; Magnoliopsida; Arecales; Arecaceae.
CUUUCUUUCUUACAUAGUCUCCUAGGUAUCUGAAUUUUUCUUUUCCUUCCCUUGUUAAGACCAAGUCCAGAUUAGGACAAAGGGUCUACUUUAGGACAAGGGCCUAGGAAGAGAAAAAGGAAAGGCAAAGAGAAUAGAAAGAGGGAAAAGAGAAGGCUAAGGAGAGAGAAAAAGGAAGGCCUGAAGUUGUGCUGCCCAG